UACGUAGGGGGGCAAGCGUUGUCCGGAUUUAUUGGGCGUAAAGAGCGUGUAGGCGGCCUGACAGGUCUGCUGUGAAAACUCGAGGCUCAACCUCGAGAUGUCGGCGGAAACCGUCUGGCUAGAGUCCGGAAGAGGAGAGUGGAAUUCCUGGUGUAGCGGUGAAAUGCGCAGAUAUCAGGAAGAACACCUAUGGCGAAGGCAGCUCUCUGGGACGGUACUGACGCUGAGACGCGAAAGCGUGGGGAGCGAACAGG
This 254-nucleotide ribosomal RNA is filed under the name uncultured bacterium. RNAcentral describes it as "partial 16S ribosomal RNA". It matches the Rfam family "Bacterial small subunit ribosomal RNA", at positions 524 to 776 of the family's 1533-position model. The record is from RNAcentral.